AACGAACGCUGGCGGCAGGCUUAACACAUGCAAGUCGAACGCACCUUUCGGGGUGAGUGGCAGACGGGUGAGUAACGCGUGGGAAUCUACCCUUCUCUACGGGAUAGCUCCGGGAAACUGGAAUUAAUACCGUAUACGUCCUGAGGGAGAAAGAUUUAUCGGGGAAGGAUGAGCCCGCGUUGGAUUAGCUAGUUGGUGGGGUAAAGGCCUACCAAGGCGACGAUCCAUAGCUGGUCUAAGAGGAUGAUCAGCCACAUUGGGACUGGGACACGGCCCAAACUCCUACGCGAGGCAGCAGUGGGGGAUAUUGGACAAUGGGCGCAAGCCUGAUCCAGCCAUGCCGCGUGAGUGAUGAAGGCCCUAGGGUUGUAAAGCUCUUUCAGUGGGGACGAUAAUGACGGUACCCACAGAAGAAGCCCCGGCUAACUUCGUG
RNAcentral lists this ribosomal RNA (433 nucleotides) under uncultured bacterium. Its description in RNAcentral is "partial 16S ribosomal RNA". It matches the Rfam family "Bacterial small subunit ribosomal RNA", at positions 29 to 507 of the family's 1533-position model. The record is from RNAcentral.